GGACGAACCCCUCGCGCGAGUGAAAGCGCGGUCUUGGCGGCGGUGGCCAUUGCGGGUAGGACGCGGCCACCGCGCUGGAAUCCAUGGGCGGACGCCUGCCGCGUUGCCGAGCGUGAUAUGACUCAUGUGCGCCCGUGCGCGGCGAGGCUGCCGGCCCUUGCCCGUCCGUCGGGCGGGUGAUAGCAGGACAUC
Molecule: unclassified non-coding RNA, 192 nt
Filed under: uncultured Helvella
Lineage: Eukaryota; Fungi; Ascomycota; Pezizomycetes; Pezizales; Helvellaceae
Description: sequence contains ITS2
Source: RNAcentral